RNAcentral lists this ribosomal RNA (461 nucleotides) under Streptococcus mitis. Its description in RNAcentral is "bacterial SSU rRNA". It matches the Rfam family "Bacterial small subunit ribosomal RNA", at positions 28 to 474 of the family's 1533-position model. Lineage: Bacteria; Bacillati; Bacillota; Bacilli; Lactobacillales; Streptococcaceae. The record is from RNAcentral.
GACGAACGCUGGCGGCGUGCCUAAUACAUGCAAGUAGAACGCUGAAGGAGGAGCUUGCUUCUCUGGAUGAGUUGCGAACGGGUGAGUAACGCGUAGGUAACCUGCCUGGUAGCGGGGGAUAACUAUUGGAAACGAUAGCUAAUACCGCAUAAUAGUAGAUGUUGCAUGACAUUUGCUUAAAAGGUGCAAUUGCAUCACUACCAGAUGGACCUGCGUUGUAUUAGCUAGUUGGUGAGGUAACGGCUCACCAAGGCGACGAUACAUAGCCGACCUGAGAGGGUGAUCGGCCACACUGGGACUGAGACACGGCCCAGACUCCUACGGGAGGCAGCAGUAGGGAAUCUUCGGCAAUGGACGGAAGUCUGACCGAGCAACGCCGCGUGAGUGAAGAAGGUUUUCGGAUCGUAAAGCUCUGUUGUAAGAGAAGAACGAGUGUGAGAGUGGAAAUUUCACACUGGACG